Molecule: long non-coding RNA, 2453 nt
Organism: Quercus robur (English oak)
Lineage: Eukaryota; Viridiplantae; Streptophyta; Magnoliopsida; Fagales; Fagaceae
Exons: 3
Source: RefSeq, a predicted model, not a curated record
UCCAGAUCGAGUCUUGUAGUAGGUGAUCAAAAAAGAGUGUCGAUCGUUGACAAAGAAAAGAACUUUUGAAGCAACGAUGAGCGAAGGUCCAAAGCUCGACAUCAACAAACCCAAAAAUCACAACUGAAAGAAUUUCAAGAGCACCAAACAAAAACCCAACGAGCUAGUUUCUUCACCAUCAGCAAUGGUCACUCAUGAGUCUUCAGCUCUGCCACCUCAGCCACCACCAAAAGAGUCAUUUUCUCUGGCCUAUGCUCGUGGCUGUCAAUCUUGCUGUUGGAGGUCCCUUUCUUUUUCUUAUUCUUCAGCUUUGUAAUUCACUGUUUAUCUUAAUUUCCUAUCUACAUUAAUAUAUGUGGGUGUUUAUUUCAUAUGCAAAGUGAUUAAAUUUAUAAAAAGGUGUAAUGGGUUUUAAGAUUUUAGCUUAAAAGAUUUGUUUUUUAAGCUUAUCGGGUGCUUUUCAUGAUGUUAUUGUUGAUGGGUAUUCUGUUGUUAGGAUAAAGGGUUACGGUUUUAAAUAUCUCAUUUUUGGAGGAAUCCUUGAUGGGAAUGGAGGAAUUCUGACUAAAUGAGAUUUGGUGUUCCAUGGUCUGGCUUGUGUGGGAUUUAUGAUUCUCCUCAGUUGAGGAAUUGCGUGAUAAAAUGUUGAUUCUAGCCUCUGUGGAUUUAGAUCUUAAAUUCUUAAUUGGUUAUGUCAUAUGUGACAUCUAAUUACUAAUAUGCACUAAAGUGUCUAGGAACGCAAAUGUGUAAAGAGUGGUGAUAAGUAUGGGGUUAAUAUACUGUUCCUAUUAGAGGGGAAAUAAACAUUUUAUGUCUUGUGUGGGAUUGAUGAUUCUCCUUUGAUAUCCUUCGACCAAAUGGCAAUGUCCCCACCAACCCUCCCCUUCCCAAUUAGUUGAAGUAGAGGCAAAAUCACUGUUUGAAUCCCAUGUCUCAGCUGUGUCAGUUGUUUAUUUUUCUAUUGAUAAAAACCAUUAUUUCUCAACUUAAACAUUUAGUUCACUACAGGUUUCGAUCCACGCUCCUUAUAAAUGGAUGCAUAUUCCUUCAUUUUGGAAAUCCUGGAGUUUGUUGUUGUUGGAACUUCUUCUUCUUUUGUUAAUAUGGGAGUAAGAGUGACAGUAAUAGCUCAUGGCAUUCUUCAUUUUAUUAGUACAGCCUUAUGCUCCUUAUAAAUGGAUGCAUAUUCCUUCAUUUUGAAAUCCUGGAGUUUGUUGUUGUUGGAACUUCUUGUUUUGUUAAAAUGGGAGUAACGGUAAUAGCUCAUGGUGUUCUUCAUUUUAUUAGUACAGCCUUAUGCUCCUUAUAAAUGGAUGCAUAUUCCUUCAUUUUGAAAUCCUGGAGUUUGUUGUUGUUGGAACUUCUUGUUUUGUUAAAAUGGGAGUAACGGUAAUAGCUCAUGGUGUUCUUCAUUUUAUUAGUACAGCCUUAUGGUUGCCUAAUCAGAGUAAUGGUUUUGGCUAUUUAUCAUGGAAAACAGCCAAUGAUCAAGUAAAAGACUUGUUUGUCUAUCAUUCUAAGAAUAAUCAUUACAAUAGGUGGGAGAAAAAGACACACAGAAUGCAAUUCUUGCAUAAUUUUUAACUGGUCAUCUAAAGCUCUACUACUUGAUAUGAUUAAAAUCAUAUACCAGUAAUUUUUGGCUUUAUCCAUGUCAAUGAUGAGCAAUAUGUUGGAUAGACAAAGUUAGUAUCAAUUCCUUAGGGUGUGCAUACUGCAUAGUUAUAGGUGAGUAGCAGUAUAUUCUAUUUGCUCAAACUCGCUUACCUACUUAACUAAUUGUUGAACAAAUAUUAAUGACUUUAUAAGUAGGGGUAAGGAUGCCUACCAAUCACCAAUCUCCAACCCCACAAAAGUGCAAUAUUUGUGUACCAGGUAUGGUCUUUUUAAUAUAUAGGUCUUACAUUUGGUGAUCAUUUUUUAAUAACUUGUUUGUCUCAUUCAGGUUUGAGAAAGAAAAAGUGGAGUAUUAAAGAAGACUUCAGGGGUGGUAAAACUGGUUUCAUCACAUUGACAUCGAAGUAGACAGAGCGGUCUCAUAACGGAAAUAUAUUCUUUACAUGUUAUGGCCCUAUAUAGUUUGAGAGCCUACCUCUUUGUUCCGACAAAGAAGAAAGAUGAGCACAUAGAAGAAGGUGCAACUCCAGUUUCAAUCUCCACUGCUAAAACUGCUCCUAUUGCUGAAAAAACCUUACACUCACCAUCUGUCACAAAACUUGUGAAGUUGCGGGAACCAAUUCCAGAGAAUCAACAGCGUGAACUUUUCAAGUGGAUGUUGGAAGAGAAAAGGAAGAUAAAACCAAAAGAUCCUGAAGAAAAGAAGUGCAUUGAUGAAGAGAAAGCCAUUCUCAAACAGUGUAUUCGAGCGAAACCUAUCCCUAGUAUCUAAUUAUUUAACACUUGUUCUCAAAUUUAAAUAUUACUAUAAAUGAAUAUUUUCUUUCUUUUUA